Long non-coding RNA from Suricata suricatta (meerkat), 392 nucleotides. RefSeq lists it as uncharacterized. The record is from RefSeq and is a predicted model, not a curated record. The transcript has 2 exons. Lineage: Eukaryota; Metazoa; Chordata; Mammalia; Carnivora; Herpestidae.
CCGGGAGCCACUGGAAAUUCUGGGAAGUCACCUGAGGUCCCCCUUGGCCAGGUAUCUACUUGCCUGGAACAUUCUGUCAAAAGAGGAUUCAGGAGGUGCGAGAAGGCCCACUGGAGGUGCUUUGCUGGAGGAGCACAUGGAUGUGCAGAACAGAAAGCUGGGGAGCUUUGCCUCUGCACCGUGGGCAGACAGCUCUGUGGACUUCAGGGAAACUUUCUCAGCUUUGAACUGCUAAGAACUCGGCGGCCACAAGAUGGCGGCAAAGAACAGUUCUCCCAGCCAAGCUAGCCCCGGGCCCUGGGUGCUGAGACCCGGAUGGACCGUCCAGGCUGGGGGACUCAUUGGCUCCAGCAAGAACCCAUGAAUAUACAAAUCCAAGAAACCCUUCUGCA